Long non-coding RNA from Vicia villosa (hairy vetch), 1460 nucleotides. RefSeq lists it as uncharacterized. The transcript has 3 exons. NCBI's taxonomy places the organism in Eukaryota, Viridiplantae, Streptophyta, Magnoliopsida, Fabales, Fabaceae. The record is from RefSeq and is a predicted model, not a curated record.
CAACAAAUUUCACCGAAAACGGAAUCGAAGAUGAAAGCCGCAUCAAAAUUUUCAACGAAUUUCUGAGUUCUUCUCACAGAGAAUCCAAACAUAGUUUCAUCGCAUUUCACCAAACCCUUUUCACCGUCGCAGUGACGACAACGAAACUGAAGAAUGUUCACCAUCGCUCGGUUCACAUGACGACAUCGCAUUGGUAAAACGAAGGGUGAGAAUAAGGGUUAUUGUUGUGGGUUUUGCAGCGUGUGAAUCUCGGUUCUGCAAUGGUGUGAAAUGGGUUUUUUGCUGCAGAUGAAAAAAUAUCCAUGUUCUGUGUUGUCGGGUCAAUUAUACAGUGAAAGGAACCAUAACUCAAAUCUCCAACUGUGGUGGCUCCAACUGCUGCUGCUGCUGUAGGUUUAGCAUUCUUCAGCUAUGGAUUUCCACAAGCUGGCACUUGCGUUGAGUAACAUUGGUUUUGAAAAUCUGAGGUGAGAAACACUGUUGAGACAGCGGUAAAGGUGGGUUUUGUUCACUAUUGAAAACUAGUGAUUUGGUAGCUUAAAAGACAAAUCUUUAUAGGUUUUGUUUUUGGCCCUUCUUUUUUUUGUUCCACUUCUUGGUUUGGUAGCUUGUGGCUGACAAGAUAUCAACAAGUAUCAAUUUAUGUUUUGAAUUAGAAACUCUUGUUGAUGAUUCUUUGAUUCUUUUAAAGGCGUGUGUGAAUUUUUCAUAUUCUAUACUGUAGUGUUUUUCAUUUUAGUGUUACCAUUCUGGUUGGAUAAGAUAGCAUCUUGUCAACAAGGUUGUCAUGUCUCAUGUUCCUUUCCUGUUCACUUUGAAAUCUUUUCUUCACUGCUACUACUUCAUUUAUUGAGCUUUCAUUCUUCACAAGUUUUCACAACUUGUGAAGAUUCUUUGGAACUGUUGUGGAUGAGUUUGCUCCAUGUAAUUGGGUUUGGUCUAAAAUAUCAAUUUAUUGGGGAGAAGAUAUUGGGGAGUGUGUGUAGAAUUAAUCAGCAAUAUUAUCAGUGUAUUGGGUUUAAGAAAGUUAGGAGAAAGUUAUGGAGGAAAUUGUUGUUGACAUGGGUUUUGGGUUAGUGUAUAGUGUCUUUGUGGAUCUUUUGUUUUAUGAAUCUGCAAGUUACUGAGAAGAGGAAAGAGACUCUUGCUAGUAUGUGUGAUGAAAGAGCUAGGAUGCUACAAGAUCAAUUUAAUGUUAGUAUGAAUCAUAUUCAAGCCAUGUCGAUCUUGAUCUCGACUUUUCAUCAUGCUAAGAAUCCUUCUGCUAUUGAUCAGAGAACGUUUGCGAAGUAUACAGAAAGUUUUGAAAGUUCAGCCACAUCUUUUCAGUGUUGUAAUAACUUGCGAAGUAUACAGUAAUGAUGAAGCUCAGCCACAUCUUUUCAGUGCUGUAAUAGAGAAGAUUGAACGCCUUUACAUGAUAUGUGUAUGUUGCUUGCUGAGAUUGUUAUUAUAUGCUU